CUCGGCGACCUUCAGAACCAAAUGCCCCCGGGAUUCUGGGAGCAUCUGAACGGCCAGCACAUUCAAGGCCACUGGACCGUGAGGCCGAUGCUCCAUGCCCUGUUCCUCUUUGGAGUCUCCGUGUCCAACACGCUAAGUCCAUGCACUCAGCACCUUCGUCACUGCCACACCCUGCUGGGUGCCCCGCCCCUCGGCAGGCCCUGGACAGAAGGGCACCGUGGAUGGAGCAUAGGCUCAGACCAUCGUCUUUGGAUCCCACCAUUUUCAAGCUGUGUGACCUUGGGCAAGUCACUUCACCUCUCUGGCCUCGCUUUUGUCAUUGCGGAGUGAAGACUGAAGGUGAUAACAUGCACGAGGCAUAAGGACACACGGUCACUUAACGGUGAGACCGAUAAUGACCUAGGAAGACUGGCUCUCGGCAGCUGGCCCCACCCUCGGUGAACACACCUCAAGUCUCAGGGUCUCCAUCCGGCCAAAGGGACGGACGCCUAAACCAAUGACCACAGCAGAAAGGGACAGGCCGGAAGACGGCGCCAAGGGACACUGGGGAGGGUGGCUUCCCCAGCAGUGGGGACGGCAGGUCAGAGCUCAGCACCGGGGAGUAGGGGAAAGAGGGUCCCCACUCUGCAGGGCCCCUGGCAGCAGAGGCCAUCAGUUAUCGAGGGGUCGCCCUGUGCCCAGCGUGUGCCAGGGCUUCGCAAAUUCCAACCCCACAAAACUCCUGCUGCCCGGGGUGGCCACGGGCCCCGUGUUUCGGGCCGAGAAAUGGAGGCCCAGGCAGGUGAGGAGCCCGGGCCUCACCACCAAGCCACUCUGCCUCCCCAGGAGGCUCUGAGGGCAUCUUUCCUGCCCAGGUACUGCCAGGUGAAGGGACCAGGAGGGGACACAUUUGGGAGGGCUAGGGACCACAGGAAAUGCUUAGCGCUCUUCUCCACGCUGCCAGCGUUAACUCGCCAGGACUCAGAACAAUCCAGCAAGGUCGCAUGUCCUUCGUCACUGCCUUCCCGAGAGGAAAUGGGGCACAGGGCACAGAGCUUGCCCAGAGCACAGGAAUGGCACACGGCAGAGCCAGGGUCCAGUGCUGGGUCCAUGUCCACGCCAUGCUGGAGUGUCCCCUGCCCAAUGCCAAAGGCCCAGGUGCCUGGCACCGGGGUCCACCCAGAGCCAACCAGGCUUGGUGAGCAGGAGAGGUCACCAGCCUGAAACAACUGAGAGGUCAUUAUGGAGACACCUGGGCAGGAGGAGGCCGUCCCUCCACACAGGGGCGUCAAGCAGUGGACCCUCUUCACAUCCCGCUGAUUGACAGCUAGGCCACGGGCUCAGUCCCCAAGGACCUCUGCUGUGUCAGCCCCAGCCAGAACCCAAGCCUCGGCCUCUGCAAGACCUUCUGGGCUAAUUAGGAGAGCGGGGACCUCCUGGGCCACCGGGCUCCUUCCCCACUUGCUCCACAGCCAAC
This 1456-nucleotide long non-coding RNA is filed under the name Marmota monax (woodchuck). Lineage: Eukaryota; Metazoa; Chordata; Mammalia; Rodentia; Sciuridae. The record is from RNAcentral.